This is a non-coding RNA of Biomphalaria pfeifferi, 260 nucleotides long. The record is from the annotation of a GenBank genome assembly. NCBI's taxonomy places the organism in Eukaryota, Metazoa, Mollusca, Gastropoda, Planorbidae.
CCAACCUGCGAUUGCAGCUGUGUAUCAAGGAUUGGCCUCUUUAGUCACACAAGAAGUUGCAAAGGGAAAAGAUCGUCUCUCGAGACGUAAAAUGCCACAGACUUACAGCAAGAAUUAGCUCGGGGAUUUAAAAGUGCGGGGCCUACUGCGACCGCAUAGAAUGCAAUGACCUAAGGCCGGCCCUGCUUUAUGGAAAAAAAAGUUUUUUUUUUAUUUCGCUUGUUUAUAUAAAAUCAGAAACUGUGAACUGCUUGUAUGUG